CACUUUGAAUCCUGAGUCCAUCACUCACUGGCUGUGGGACCUUGAGAAAAUUGACUUCAUAGGGGCAAGAUAAGGGUAAAAUGUAAAGCACUGUGCUUGGCACACAGCAAACAUUCCAUAGUUGUUUCACAACAUUAUUAUUAACUGUAGGUAUCACUGACAGUCAGUGAUGGUGGUUCUGAUCAAAAAAGACAAUCAUUUUGUCUUCUCCCCUACAUACUCUUUUUGAUUAAGAGGACAAAAUGGUUAUUAUAUUCCAUUUUUGUCUUUUUUUUUUUUUUUUUUUUUUUUUUUGCUCUGAUAAAAUAGAGAAACCUUUGGGACUUACUCUCCAGUUUCAAAAACUUUGAACUAACUUGUUAUUAUGUGAUACUAUGUUUGACUCAGGGAAUAGAAUAUUUUUCUCCAGAGAACUGAACUUAAACUAUUAUCCCAAAUCCAAUGAGUUCAGCUACUCUGUUUUGUUCCAUGGGCUUUUUGACCCAUGUUAAAAGUAAGUGUUUAAGAGACACAUGGGAUCAAAUCAGCAGGUGAUCUAUGAUCAGGCAAGAAAGGGAUGUUUGCUGGAUGAAUUUCCCUGGUACCUGCUUGAUUUGGUGAGUUGGUCCUUGACCAAUUUCUAAACAACAUCUCGAAAUUCAGAGUGAAAUAUUAAGUAAAGAAAUAAAUUAAAGGGUUGACACUCAGGGAACCAUCUGCCUUCGAUGAUAGAAUUAGCACUUUGAGUUAAUUACAGUCAGGGAGGUUUUAUGCCUUUUCUCACAAUCACUUCCCGCUAACAACAAUUCCAUUCAUUGCCACACCUUACACUUUCUGUUCCACAUACAGCAUCCCCCAGGAACUUCAUAGGCUUUGGAGGGAGACUGCAAAGUGAGAGAGGUGAAUGGGCUCCCUAUCAGGCUAAGGGCCAUGGAGGUUCUCAGUGCAGAACAAACCCCUGCCAUAGGCAAUACCCAAGAGGAUAAAGCAUAUUCAUGCAACUGCCUGUAGUCUCUGUACUUCUAAUGAGGAUGUUCCUCUUCCUGCCUGUCCCUGCCCCCUCCCUGCAACUCUCUGGAGUGCAGGUACCAGGGGAAUCUGCUCAUAUUCAGACAAAUGAAAGCAGGAGAUAAUAGAAGACUGGGAGCAUCAGAGCAGCCAUCUGACAUGCAAAGAAGUGACUCACAAGGGGACUGUAACCUAAGAAAAUGUCAUAAGAAAACAAAAAGAUUCCCAGCAGCACUAUUUUUAAGUAAAAAAAAAAAAAAAAAAAAAAAAAAAAAAAAAAAAAAAAACAAAACAAAACAAAAACUAUAAAGAAUCAAAACCACACCAGUGUGUAGAAGGGCCAGAAAUAUCCUGAUGGAAACCAUGAUGGAACACCAUACAGCUAUUAAACAUAACAAGUUUAUGGAUGACAAACAUGUAGAAAUGUUUAUAUAGAAUAGUACAAAGUGGAAAGUUACAACUAACAAUGUCAAAAUUAAUUUAUAUGGCUGCAUUUAAGUGCUGAACAUAGCUAUAAAGAAAUCCCACAACCCAAGAGAUAAGAAUCUUUAUGAGUUUAUCCUAUCUUAACUUAAAUGGAUCACACAACUAUAUUACUGCAUUUCUCUAGUAAGUUCAUUUUCCCAGUGUUGUUAAGUGCUCUGUACUUCCUCCACUAGGCUCAAACUUCCCAGCUCUCUCAUAAUAGAAUCCUCGGAGGCAUCUGUGAUUCUUGCCCUGCUUGCUCGAAUUUGGCAAUGUGAUCCUUCUUUCCUAUGUUCCAGCUACGCUGGCCUCUUGGUCUUUGAAUUUGCUAAGUGCUCUACUUUCUCGAAGGCUCCCCCUGUGUUCCUGCUGCCUCAGAGGCCCUUGUCCCAAGUCACUCAACUCAACUAAGUUUAACAUUUAUGUACCCCUGCUUGUGCUCCCUCUACUGUUAUCCUCACUCGGCCAUAUACACUUCUUCACUGUACCUAGCACACUUUGUAAUUAUAAUUGCAUUUGCAUGAUUAUGGGUUUACAGUGUCCUCCUCCCCUAAAGAGAUGUCAGCUCACUAGGAAUAAUAUCUGAGCUGUUCCUAUAUCUACCUAGCACAACACAGCACCUAGCCCAGAUUGGUUAUCUCAUAAAACUUUGCCGAAUGAGGGGCACCUGGGUGGUUCAGUCAGUUAAGCAUUUGUCUUCUGUUCAGGUCAUGAUCUCAGGGUCUUGGGAUUGCACUCCAGGUCAGGCUCCUGAUCAGUGGGGAAUCUGUUUUACCUCUCCCACUGUCCCUCCCCCUGCUUAUGCUCCCUCUCUCUCAAAUAAAUGAAAAAUAAAAUCUUAAAAAAAAAAAAAAAAAAAACCCACUAAAUUAAAAAAGAAACUGCUGAAUGAAUGAAUAGGUUGGAUGAAUGGGUGAAUGAAUGAAGUGAUGAGAAUAUGAGUAUAUAUAAUGUAAUAAUGUAAUAUUCAUUGGGUUUUAUUUUUUCCAUAAAAUAACCAUGUGGUGUAGUCUAUUGAAUAACACUUUGCUCUCAUUUGAGUAGUGCUUUCUAUUUUUUGAAGCAUUUUCACAAACAAUAAAUUUUUUUGAUUCAUAGAACCCUUGAGGGAGACAGUAUUCCAGGUUCAUGUUUGAGAACAUGGAGGUUCUGAGAAAUUAACUAAUUGGCCCAAGCCAAACUAAGUGGUAGAGAGAAGUCUAGAAUCCAGACCUGCUAGAUUCAGGCCAGGGAUUUGGCUCCCUGCCCCUACGGCUGCUAGUAUGUCACUGUGUCCACUGUAAGGCACACUGGGAGCACUGAAGGACUGGCAAGUACAGAGGCAUUAUCCUGAUGCAUCUUUGUUGCUCAGGAAUGAUGGGAGGCGAUAGUGCUAUAAUGAGGAGAGGGUUCUGGCCCCUAGCAGGUGGGAUUGGAGUGGUGAGGCAGUGGGUAGUGAGCCUCAGAUGUGGCUCUCAGGUCACUCUUUCACAUGCAACCUGCAGUUGUUCAAUAUCUCAUUGUCCUUUUUACUCAGGCGAUCAUAUCAGAAUGUUGAUUAAUCAAUUGCACAGGUGGCUCCAUAGUCACUAAAUGCAGAUGCAAGACAACAGAAUGGAUAGAGCAUGGGCCAGCUCCUUGGUGGAACACCAAAGUUAUGGUCAGAAAAGUUGAAAGGCCUGGAGAAGUCAGAGAGAGCCAACAUGUAUAUGUCAACACCAACUGUCACUCUGGCAAACCCAUGACCCAAUUUAUCAUAUUGUCUUGUCUGAAUAUUUACAAAAAUAUAAACUCAGAGGACAGAGAUGUGGUAGGACAGGGAGUAAGAUAUAGAAAGAUGAGGAACCAAAUGAAGGCCUAAUCCUAAGGCAGAAAGUACUUCCUGGUGCCAUAUGCUUUCAGUACACACUUGUCAUCAAAUCCACUCACGCAUCCUGUUCAAGCCCUCACUUCCUCAGCCCUUGUCUGCAGCAGUUUUCCACAAAGAGCUUGAUGACAGCUGUGUCUGUUGGGAAAACCAAAGCCUCAUUUUUCUCUCUUCAGAAGCAUCUGAGGAUGGUGAUACUUGCCACCACUUAACGAGGUGGUGGUAAGGCCAGCCAUGUUGAGGCUAGUGAUUUCUUCCCUUCCAGAGAAUGCCAUAAUUCCAGAAUUUUGUAAUUCCCUAGGCAAAUGGCAAGUGGUACCUAAUGCUGAUACCACAGGAUCAAGGCUGGACCAAGACAAAUUAGGAGUUGAAUGCUCAUUGCCUCUCAAUGCUUUUUGUAUUAUCAAAUUACUAUUUUUUUUGCAUCAUGUUUUCGUAUAACUAAAAGAAUGACAUGGUCGUUAUUAAUAACAUAAUUACUUGAGGGAACCCUGUAAGAUGAAAACAAAUCCAGUAGUGGAAAUAGCUACCAUUUUUAAUACCAAGGAAUUUCAUCUCUUGCAAUAACCUUUUUUACUAGUAAAGAAAAUGAGAUUUGAGAUGCUAAGAUAGUCUUAAUCCAGUAGGGAGUGGAGUUGGAAGUCAGCAUUGAGUCUGUUCCCAACCAUGUUAUUAAGUAGUUGCGUGGCCUUAGGUAAGUUACUUCACCUCUCUGGGUUUCUAUUGCCUUCCCAGAGAAAGGGAGAGUGAGUUAGACUUAGAGAUAGUGCAGGUAACUUCUGAGUGUUUGUUUGAUGCUGAAUUUUAUUGCUUUUCUUCAUCAAUGAUCGUUCUAGUUCUUGUUUGGGGUUUUUGUUUGUUUUUGUGUUUAUUAAUCUACCUUUCUCAUCAUCCAACUCUCAACUUGUCACUCAGAGAGUUUCCCUGACCACUCCUGCUAAAAUAGCCUGUCUACCUCCUCCACUUUUCAUGACAAAGUCUAAACACCUGAGCAUGGUGCACACAGUUGUCACAAAUUGGUCCCCAUUUCCUUCUCCAGAACCCAGAAAGUGAUCAAUAAAUCUACGUUGAUUGGAUUCAUGAAUGUAUCCAGUGUGUUACAAGUUCUUUUGAUUCUGCCACAGAAAACUCUAGUUCUGUGCUGUAAACAUGUGGCUAUUUGAAUUUAAAUUAACUAAAAUAAAAAAUUCAGUUCCUUAGUCUCACUCAUCACAUUUCAAGUACUCAAGAGCCACAUGUGAGCUCUGGUAUAGUGGCUGGUGUAAUGGACUAGUGGCAAAGAUAACACUUCCAUCACUGCAGAAAGUUCUAUUGGACAGUGCUGGUCUAAGUACUGACUCUUCCUUCCUAAGCCCACUGGGAUCCUUCACCUGAUUCUUACGUCUCAGCCUCUUCAUUGGGCUGACAGUAGUCUCCUCCCUCGCUAGUCCAUUCUGCACCCUGCCUUAGUCAUUGAGUUCAUUUAUUCAUGCCACAGAUACUUAGGGAGGACCUCAUACAUGCCAAGUCUUCAUAGGAGCCUGAGCAGCUCACGAGUCAGACCUAGUCCUGACUCAGUGAACUUCCAGCCUAGAUACUGUGUGUAUGUCAAUCUUGUGCUUAAAAACCAUUGUUGGGUCACCCAGUUACCGACAUGAAGGAGGGCACGGGAUGUCAGGAGCACUGGGUGUUAUAUAAGACUGAUGUAAAUAAAAUUAAAAAAAAAAAA
Molecule: long non-coding RNA, 5006 nt
Filed under: Canis lupus familiaris (dog)
Lineage: Eukaryota; Metazoa; Chordata; Mammalia; Carnivora; Canidae
Description: lncRNA (ENSCAFG00845004818.1)
Source: RNAcentral